Molecule: long non-coding RNA, 557 nt
Organism: Ipomoea nil (Japanese morning glory)
Lineage: Eukaryota; Viridiplantae; Streptophyta; Magnoliopsida; Solanales; Convolvulaceae
Exons: 4
Source: RefSeq, a predicted model, not a curated record
UUCUCUCCGCCUAGGUUUUUGUUUUGUUCCGUUUUUCAGGUGAUGUCUGGGAUAUAAGGAGAAUCUGUUGAUUGGAUAUUGCAGAGCCGCGGAUAGCUAAAUUAGGUUCUUCCAAUUGGAGAAGCACUGGUUACUGACAGCUUACAUCCUUGGCUAGCCAUUGCUACACUGCGUUCAAAAUGAACCGCCAAUAUAAAGAAGAUCAUGAUGAAGUAACUGUCAUGGGAUUUGAAGUUCCGAGAUCACCUGAUUCAAGCUACAACAACGUGUACCCCGGGAAUGAAGAUGAGGGGCGGGAACCACCUCUAUUCCCCCCGCACCUGCACCAGACCGUGCUGAACCACCCAGCAAACAGAGACCAAUCUGCAUCCCUCCCGUCCCCACAGAACGUGGUCCUAAACCAUCUUUACAUCGAGAACAGCAACCGAGAAACACCAAGAACCGUGGUGGCACUAGGUACAACGCAUCGCUUCCGCUCAAAAUACGUCACCGUCGUGCUUUACAAACCGGUCCCGAGAAGGGGUGGCAGCACCUGAAAUUCGUCCAUCACAAUGUAC